UAAAACGCAGUAAAUAAAUUUAGUAGCAAUACUCGGAUAGCCAUAUAAGGCGUUAUUGUUGGUAAUUUUUAUUAGUAAGUUUAUUUAUUUAUAUUUCAGUGAUUUUAAGUCAUUAGAGCAAAAAUAUAUUGAAAAUGGAAUUUCAGAUCGCACUUUAGACGUAAAUAAUUUACCACAAGAAGAUGUUGAUGAGUGGUACUUAGUAAUUUUCAAAAUAAUUAAAGCUCAUUUACGUUAUCCUGUAUUAAUGGUUAAAAUUAAUGAUUUCAAACGAUGCUUACAAGAAUUAAGAAUGGAAAAUGAAUAAAUUAAAAAUUUAUAUGCAGUACUUUAUGCUUAAAACGUUCAUCACUAAUUAAUAGUUUAUCGUAAAAAAUUACAUUAAUUCCUACAUUAAAGUCAUGUUGUUGGACAGAUAUAACAGUAUCAAUCAAUGUUAAAUCAUCAUCAUGUAGCGGAACCAACAUUAUAAAUGAAGUCGACAUUAUUGUGGAGUAUCAGUAAAAAGUAUUUAUUCGAAUCAAAUCUUGGCAAAUUAAAUUUCAUAAGAUAUAUGGUCGUAACUUUGCCACAAAAUAUAUAUGAUAACGAAGAACAUUAAUAAAAAUCUGUUCAUUAAUUGAAUUGAAUUUAAUUAUUUUAUGUUUAUAUAUUAA
Microplitis mediator is the source of this 656-nucleotide long non-coding RNA. RefSeq lists it as uncharacterized. The transcript has 3 exons. The record is from RefSeq and is a predicted model, not a curated record. Lineage: Eukaryota; Metazoa; Arthropoda; Insecta; Hymenoptera; Braconidae.